GAAGGUUUCAUACGGGAAGUGACAUGUUAAGAUCUGGAUCUUAAAGAACUUGGGGGUAAGUCUGUGAGGAUCCAGAACGGCAGCUGGUCCUUGCUGGACUGUUCCUGUCCAUGUGCCUGGUCAUGGUGCUGGGGAACCUGCUCAUCAUCCGGCCAUGAGCCCUGACUCCCACCUCCACACCUCCAUGUACUUCUUCCUCUCCAACCUGUCCUUGCCUGACAUCGGUUUCA
Molecule: long non-coding RNA, 230 nt
Organism: Homo sapiens (human)
Lineage: Eukaryota; Metazoa; Chordata; Mammalia; Primates; Hominidae
Gene: OR7E47P
Product: olfactory receptor family 7 subfamily E member 47 pseudogene
Source: Ensembl